RNAcentral lists this ribosomal RNA (1930 nucleotides) under Saccharophagus degradans. Its description in RNAcentral is "partial 23S ribosomal RNA". It matches the Rfam family "Bacterial large subunit ribosomal RNA", at positions 1 to 1987 of the family's 2925-position model. Lineage: Bacteria; Pseudomonadati; Pseudomonadota; Gammaproteobacteria; Cellvibrionales; Cellvibrionaceae. The record is from RNAcentral.
GGUCAAGUGAUUAAGCGCACAUGGUGGAUGCCUUGGCAGUUAGAGGCGAUGAAAGACGUAGGAGCCUGCGAUAAGGCUAGGGGAGCUGGCACACAAGCUUUGAUCCUAGCAUUUCUGAAUGGGGAAACCCACUGAGCUUGCUCAGUAUCGUGCACUGAAUACAUAGGUGUACGAGGCGAACCCGGGGAACUGAAACAUCUAAGUACCCGGAGGAAAAGAAAUCAACCGAGAUUCCCUAAGUAGCGGCGAGCGAAAGGGGAGCAGCCGAUGAUUUAAGAGGUAGUGGAACAGUCUGGAAAGUCUGGCGAUACAGGGUGAUAGCCCCGUACACGAAAUCUCUUAAGUCACAUAUUAAGUAGGACGGGACACGUGUUAUCUUGUCUGAAGAUGGGGGGACCAUCCUCCAAGGCUAAAUACUCCUAACUGACCGAUAGUGAACCAGUACCGUGAGGGAAAGGCGAAAAGAACCCCGGAGAGGGGAGUGAAAUAGAUCCUGAAACCGUGUGCGUACAAGCAGUUGGAGCUCUUCGGAGUGACAGCGUACCUUUUGUAUAAUGGGUCAGCGACUUAUUGUAUGUGGCCAGGUUAACCGCUUAGGGGAGCCGUAGGGAAACCGAGUCUUAAUAGGGCGUCCAGUCGCAUGCAAUAGACCCGAAACCCGGCGAUCUAUCCAUGGGCAGGUUGAAGGUUAGGUAACACUGACUGGAGGACCGAACCCACUAACGUUGAAAAGUUAGGGGAUGACCUGUGGAUCGGAGUGAAAGGCUAAUCAAGCCGGGAGAUAGCUGGUUCUCCCCGAAAACUAUUUAGGUAGUGCGUCAUGUCUCACCCACGGGGGUAGAGCACUGUUUGGGCUAGGGGGUCAUCCCGACUUACCAACCCCAUGCAAACUCCGAAUACCGUGGAGUGCAAUCAUGGCAGACAGACUGCGGGUGCUAACGUCCGUAGUCAAGAGGGCAACAACCCAGACCGCCAGCUAAGGUCCCAAAUAUCAGUUAAGUGGGAAACGAUGUGGGAAGGCUUAGACAGCUAGGAGGUUGGCUUAGAAGCAGCCACCCUUUAAAGAAAGCGUAAUAGCUCACUAGUCGAGUCGGCCUGCGCGGAAGAUUUAACGGGGCUCAAACUGAUAACCGAAGCUGCGGAUACUUUCGAGUAUGGUAGGGGAGCGUUCUGUAAGCCUGUGAAGGUGAACUGAGAAGUUUGCUGGAGGUAUCAGAAGUGCGAAUGCUGACAUGAGUAACGAUAAGGGGAGUGAAAAACUUCCCCGCCGGAAGAUCAAGGUUUCCUGUCCAACGCUAAUCGGGACAGGGUUAGUCGGCCCCUAAGGCGAGGCAGAAAUGCGUAGUCGAUGGGAAGCGCGUUAAUAUUCGUGCACCGACUGUUACUGCGAUGGAGGGACGGAGUAGGCUAGGCGAGCACGGCGUUGGUUGUCCGUGUUUAAGCUUGUAGGCUGGUGACUUAGGUAAAUCCGGGUUGCUAAGGCUGAGAGGUGAUGACGAGUCCUCUUUUGGACGAAGUCGUUGAUGCCAUGCUUCCAAGAAAAUCUUCUAAGCUUCAGGUAACAGUUGACCGUACUGUAAACCGACACAGGUGAUCAGGUAGAGAAUACCAAGGCGCUUGAGAGAACUCGGGUGAAGGAACUAGGCAAAAUAGUACCGUAACUUCGGGAGAAGGUACGCCGGUUUUGGUGAUGGGACUUGCUCCCUAAGCUGAGACUGGUCGAAGUGACCAGGUGGCUGCGACUGUUUAUUAAAAACAUAGCACUCUGCAAACACGAAAGUGGACGUAUAGGGUGUGACGCCUGCCCGGUGCCGGAAGGUUAAUUGAUGGGGUUAGCUUCGGCGAAGCUCUUGAUCGAAGCCCCGGUAAACGGCGGCCGUAACUAUAACGGUCCUAAGGUAGCGAAAUUCCUUGUCGGGUAAGUUCCGAC